GUCCCACUUCCUGGUUGGCUUCCUGAAAGCCUCUCGACAAGGGGCUCAGGGAAGUGGGUCUAAGGGAGAGGUGCAGACGAGAGCGACUCCAGGUCCAACGGAGGGGGCGGCGGGCCACGGGAUCCCGGAGGGCACAGGCGUUAAGGACGGAGUUAUUGUCCAUAAUUACAAUAAAAGUUUGGGGAUCUGAAAGCUUUAAGGAGCUGAGCUGCAGGGCAAAGGCUAAGAACCGGACUCGGGAAAAGUGCAAGUUAGUUACAAGGUAGCAGGGACUGUGAAGGGGGCUCGCGUGGAGAGCAGGGGACUGCGGAUCUGGAAGGGGGCAGGUAGAGAGGAAGGCAGCCUGGCAGAGCGAGGCACACGGGUCAGUCGGAGCUCUGCGGUGGCCGCCAGAGGGGAGGGGGCCACGGGGAGGAGCGGAGGGAAGAGCCCGGGGAAAGGUGUAGCCGAGGGGAGUUCCGGAUCUGGAGCUGGAAAGGGCAGGCAGCGGAGAG
RNAcentral lists this long non-coding RNA (494 nucleotides) under Homo sapiens (human). RNAcentral describes it as "lncAB446.1". Lineage: Eukaryota; Metazoa; Chordata; Mammalia; Primates; Hominidae. The record is from RNAcentral.